UUGUAGCCUCGCAGAUGGAGGAAGGACGCCUCCCGCUACCAAGCCCCGGGG
This 51-nucleotide transfer RNA is filed under the name Blaesodactylus ambonihazo. Its description in RNAcentral is "partial tRNA-Tyr". Lineage: Eukaryota; Metazoa; Chordata; Lepidosauria; Squamata; Gekkonidae. The record is from RNAcentral.